UGUUCUUGUUUUAUCUUUCAGCCCAAGAACUUGCCAGUCAAGAUGAAAAACUUCUUCUAAUGGAAUCCAGCUUUAAGGCUACUCAAGAGCAGCUAACUGAGCAAAUAGCAGAAAGAGUUCGCCAAGAACAGAACAGUAGAAAACCCCAGGCAGAGCCGAAGACAGUGACAGAAGGGAUUAUUGCUUCUGAAGAAGAAAAAAAUGAUUACAAAUUCUGA
Long non-coding RNA from Capra hircus (goat), 218 nucleotides. Lineage: Eukaryota; Metazoa; Chordata; Mammalia; Artiodactyla; Bovidae. The record is from Ensembl.